GUGGGGAAUAUUGCGCAAUGGUCGAAAGACUGACGCAGCGACGCCGCGUGUGGGAGGAAGCCCUUCGGGGUGUAAACCACUGUCGGGAGGGACGAACCGCGGACGGGCGAAUAGCCCGGACGCCUGACGGUACCUCCAAAGGAAGCACCGGCUAACCCUGUGCCAGCAGCCGCGGUAAUACAGGGGGUGCAAGCGUUGUUCGGAAUUACUGGGCGUAAAGCGCGGGCAGGUGGUUUUUUAAGUCCUUUGUGAAAUCCCGGAGCUCAACUCCGGAUGUGCAGAGGAUACUGAAAGACUGGAGACUGGUAGAGGCGAGCGGAAUUCCUGGUGUAGCGGUGGAAUGCGUAGAUAUCAGGAAGAACACCGGUGGCGAAGGCGGCUCGCUGGGCCAGUUCUGACACUCAUCCGCGAAAGCGUGGGGAGCAAACAGGAUUAGAAACCCGAGUAGUCC
Molecule: ribosomal RNA, 451 nt
Filed under: uncultured bacterium
Lineage: Bacteria
Description: bacterial SSU rRNA
Rfam family: Bacterial small subunit ribosomal RNA
Source: RNAcentral